This 354-nucleotide ribosomal RNA is filed under the name Rhipicephalus turanicus. RNAcentral describes it as "partial 12S ribosomal RNA". Lineage: Eukaryota; Metazoa; Arthropoda; Arachnida; Ixodida; Ixodidae. The record is from RNAcentral.
AAUAAAAAUUAUGAAAGCAAAAAAUUAUGGCGGUAUUUUAAGCUUUUCAGAGGAAUUUGCUCUUUAAUGGAUAAAACACCUAAAUCUUACUUAAAUUUGUUAAUUCAAUUUGUAUACCACUAUAAAAACAAUUUAUAACUUUAAUUGUUUAAAUUUAUUAAAUUAAAAUAUAUUAAGUCAAGGUGCAGUAAAAAUUUAAGAAUGAAGUGAAUUACAUUACUCUUUAGAGAAAUAAAUUUAAAAUAAUAUUUAGGAUUUGAAAGUAAAAUUAAAAUAGAAUGUUGGUUUGAAUUAAGCUCUAAAAUAUGUACAUAUCGCCCGUCACUCUUUUAUAAGAUAAGUCGUAACAUAGUA